GCAUAAUUGAAAUGUUGAUGGACACUGGACCCCCUGUGACAGCUUCUGAACUUGAUCCUGGCGACAUAGCACCAAAUGUUGGUUUGGUAUCCAUAGAAACGCAACAAAUAAUACAAAUGGAAAAUCUCUGGAUGAACAAAGAAAGACCUCUCGUGGUGAUUGCAGGUUCCUUAUCCUGACCUCCACUUCGGGCUAUCGUACACAGCGAUGGCUUGUCUGUACUGUUGCAUCGGUACAAAGAAAAAGUAGAGUUUAUAUUUGUUUACAUCAGAGAAGCUCAUCCUAAAGACGGAUGGAGAAUGGGAUCGCAUUUUAGUUUCAUUGAAAAUCACAGAACGCUGGAAGACAGACUGGCAGCUGCCAGAUCGCUUAUCAAAAUGGACAAAUUUAAUAUUCUGACGUCCGACAUUGAGAGUCUGAAUAAAUGUCGUGUAGUGGUGGACAACAUGGAGGAUGAUUUCUCGGUUGGUUACGCUGCCUCUCCAGAUCGUGUAUAUGUAAUUGAAAAGGGAAAGAUUGCGUAUGUAGGAAGGAGUAUACUAAUUCAGUUAGAAGAACCAGAAAAAUUAAUGACAGAUGAACUUUGUGAAUGGUUGGAAGAGCGCUUCCCGGAUUCUAAACUAUAACUUUUGGUAUUAUAUUUUAAUUGCAUGGUUGUAUGCUAUAUGACACAACAUGUCGCCGUACAAGGUACUUAUGACGUCACUUAGGUAGCCGUCUCCAUGACGACCGAUGUGGCUGAAUCCCC
Molecule: long non-coding RNA, 748 nt
Organism: Saccoglossus kowalevskii
Lineage: Eukaryota; Metazoa; Hemichordata; Enteropneusta; Harrimaniidae
Source: RefSeq, a predicted model, not a curated record